This 492-nucleotide ribosomal RNA is filed under the name uncultured bacterium. RNAcentral describes it as "partial 16S ribosomal RNA". It matches the Rfam family "Bacterial small subunit ribosomal RNA", at positions 29 to 507 of the family's 1533-position model. The record is from RNAcentral.
AGUGAACGCUGGCGGUAGGCCUAACACAUGCAAGUCGAACGGCAGCACAGUAAGAGCUUGCUCUUACGGGUGGCGAGUGGCGGACGGGUGCGGAAUACAUCGGAAUCUACUUUUUCGUGGGGGAUAACGUAGGGGAACUUACGCUAAUACCGCUUACGACCUACGGGUGGAAGCAGGGGAUCUUCGGACCUUGCGCGAUUGAAUGAGCCGAUGUCGGAUUAGCUAGUUGGCGGGGUAAAGGCCCACCAAGGCGACGAUCCGUAGCUGGUCUGAGAGGAUGAUCAGCCACACUGGAACUGAGACACGGUCCAGACUCCUACGGGAGGCAGCAGUGGGGAAUAUUGGACAAUGGGCGCAAGCCUGAUCCAGCCAUACCGCGUGGGUGAAGAAGGCCUUCGGGUUGUAAAGCCCUUUUGUUGGGAAAGAAAAGCAGCAGGUUAAUACCCCGCUGUUCUGACGUUACCCAAAGAAUAAGCACCGGCUAACUUCGUG